UCUGGUACCCUCAGGAUCGUGACCCAUUUGGGGUCAUGACACCAGGUUUCCCUCUGAUCAAACUCCUUAGGAAGGAAGAUGAAGAGGAUGUUAUUUCCAAGACUCCUUGACCUCUUCUUCCUCCCAAGCUUCCUGCAGUGAGGCAAGAACCCUGCCUCCUUUUGGUGUCUCUUCUGAUAGGAAGAUUGAUCAACUGCAGCUGGGAAAAGGAUCAAAGAGGACAGCCAGCAGCCCUUGGAGCUUCCCCUUUAGGAAAGAGAACAGCAAAGCAGGCUCUGUCAGAGAGUCUUGGAAUCAUGGAUGGAACUUUGGAGAGGAGAGAGACUCCCACAUCUCCGAGGUCAAGUGACAUGGAAGAGAGCUCCUCCCAGAGGUCGCUAUUGGUCAGUCCUGCUCGUUCUGUCGGCACCCAUGAGCUGGAAACCAAAAGCUCAUAUGCUGGGGAAAGGACAUGCUGCUGUUCCACCUCAUUACUCCCUUCUCACCGAGAAGUAAUAUCCAGGGCAUCUUCAGCUGGAAACCCAAUACCAGUCCCUAAGAGUAGAAAGGAGGCUGUUACAGUUUCUCAGACCUCUUCCUCCCCUUCUUCUCCCUCCUCUUCCUUUUCCACCUCGUCAUGCUUCUUUUCCACCUCAUCCUUCUCCUCUUACCACUACAGCUCCUCUUCCUCCUCGUCCUCUACCUCCUCCUCCUCCUUUUUCUCCUCUUCCCUCUCUUCUACUGUCACCUCUGCCUUGUCCUCCUCCUCCUCCUCCUCUUCUUUGUCCUCCUCUUCCCCAUCAUCCUUGUCCUCUUCCCACACCUCAGGCAGUUGGAUAGGCACCCUGCUUCCCUCUGGGGAGUCUCCUCAAGAUGGAGGGACUGAACACCAGCUUCUGAGCGGAAAGAUCCAACCCGAUGUCAUCAAACAGCAGCUGGAGCUACACCUCCAAAACAGGAUCAUCUGGCAACAAAAUCGUCCUCCAAAGAGAGUCCAGGAGUCCCUUAGCCUGCUGCUGCCCCAAUGUGGAGACUGGGAGAAGGGAGGAAUGACCCCAUCCCAGAGUGCCAGCCAGACUGAGAAGAGUUGUGAGCUGCAACUCAGCUCAGACAGCCCUAAGUAUUCCACCCGUAGCACCCAGGACCUGAAAACCAAACUCCUUUACUCUGGGGAAAGCUUCCCCUACUGCUCACCUCCUUCAGUCUCUUCUGCUCGAAAAGAGGAGACUACAUCCAAAGCUUAUUCAGAGCACGCCCAACAUCCAGAUACUGACCCUCCUAGAGAGCCUGUCCCAGGGCUCAGCACCAUCUCCUACACACCAUCUCCAUCCUUCUCUCCUCCUUUCUCAGCACCAUCUCCUACACACCAUCUCCAUCUUCUCUCCACCUUCUCAGCCUGCUUGGCCUCCUCUUCCUGUGGAUGCUCCUGUAGUAUGACAGAUAUCCUGGUUCCCUCUGAUAUCUCCCCUGAUGAGGAAAGGACAAAACAACUGAAGAUGAAGACAGGAUCAGGGAGGAUGACUUUGAACUGCCACCUGAGUUUCAACUUCACAAAAUGCCCUUGAAGCAGCAGAAGGAUCUUCUUCUCCAGAGAAUACGCAAACCUCAGAUUCUGCUCUCGCCCGAAGUUGGGGACCGAGAGAAGGGAGAGAUGGGCUGGUCCCUGAAGCCCAGUCAGAUAUGUGGGAGUCCAGGAUGGCCAGAAGCCAGUCUCUAUGACCCGAUCACCCUCCUGGAGACCAACAUCAGGCAGAAAUAUCAGGCCUUCCUUCUGGGCCUGCAUGACAUCAAAUAGACUCAUCCGUGUCAGUGGCAGGGGAAGGAAGAACCAACCCGGCCUCAUUCCCAAUUCAACUUGAAAGCCUGGCACAGAGGGCAUAUUGAACAUGGUGUGAGCUCUGGCCGUGGAUCUGUCCUCUGGUGGUUCCCGGGGUACUGAUCCCCGAGCCCAAAAUUACCUCCCUGCCAUGGUGGCAUUGGCUGGAAACUGGUGUCCUUAAGGCUCCUGACAUCUCUCAGUGAAUACCUAAAAUGAAGUCCCCUUAUGGUUUGUUUUAUCUUACUUUCUCAAUGAAAUGGCAGAAGGAUAAGGAUCAUCGGCUUUCCUCCCUUCAGCCCCCCUCUUCUGCCAC
RNAcentral lists this long non-coding RNA (2111 nucleotides) under Ornithorhynchus anatinus (platypus). RNAcentral describes it as "lncRNA (ENSOANG00000049173.1)". Lineage: Eukaryota; Metazoa; Chordata; Mammalia; Monotremata; Ornithorhynchidae. The record is from RNAcentral.